GCCGGGGUGGCGAAAGGGCAGCCGCGGGGGACUUAAAAUCCUCUGGUGGAGACACCGUGUGGGUUCGAAUCCCACCCCCGGUACCA
RNAcentral lists this transfer RNA (86 nucleotides) under Bacillota bacterium. RNAcentral's name for it is "tRNA-Leu". It matches the Rfam family "tRNA". From Rfam's summary of the family: Transfer RNA (tRNA) molecules are approximately 80 nucleotides in length. Lineage: Bacteria; Bacillati; Bacillota. The record is from RNAcentral.